This 465-nucleotide ribosomal RNA is filed under the name uncultured bacterium. Its description in RNAcentral is "partial 16S ribosomal RNA". It matches the Rfam family "Bacterial small subunit ribosomal RNA", at positions 338 to 795 of the family's 1533-position model. The record is from RNAcentral.
CCUACGGGAGGCAGCAGUAGGGAAUCUUCCACAAUGGGCGCAAGCCUGAUGGAGCAACACCGCGUGAGUGAAGAAGGGUUUCGGCUCGUAAAGCUCUGUUGUUGGAGUAGAACGUGCGUGAGAGUAACUGUUCACGCAGUGACGGUAUCCAACCAGACUGUCACGGCUAACUACGUGCCCGCAGCCGCGGUAAUACGUAGGUGGCACGCGUUAUCCGGAUUUAUUGGGCGUAAAGCGAGCGCAGGCGGUCGCUUAGGUCUGAUGUGAAAGCCGUCGGCAUACCCGAAGAAGUGCAGCGGAAACCGGGCGACUUGAGUGCAGAAGAGGACAGUGGAACUCCAGGUGUAGCGGUGAAAUGCGGAGAUAUAUGGAAGAACACCAGUGGCGAAGGCGGCUGUCUGGUCUGCAACUGACGCUGAGGCACGAAAGCAUGGGUAGCGAACAGGAUUAGAUACCCCAGUAGUC